RNAcentral lists this ribosomal RNA (479 nucleotides) under uncultured eukaryote. Its description in RNAcentral is "eukaryotic LSU rRNA". It matches the Rfam family "Eukaryotic large subunit ribosomal RNA", at positions 1381 to 1861 of the family's 3401-position model. The record is from RNAcentral.
GUAAGAGGGCGUGGGCGUGGUGCUGAAGCCUUGACGUGAGUCUCGUGGAACCGCGCCCAGUGCAGAUCUGGUGGUAGUAGCAAUUAUUCAAAAUGAAAAAUUUUGAAGGCCGAAAGUGGAGAAGGGUUCCAUGAAAACAGUGCUUGGUCAUGGGUUACUCGAUCCUAAGGCAAUGCAGAAAACGCGUGGAAUACAGUGUUUAACUGUGCUGCCAAAAGGGAAUGAGGUUAAUAUUCCUCAAGCUGGCGGUGGAUGCAUGUGGCAACACGAACGAACUCGGAGACGUCGGCGCGUACUUCUGGAAGAGUUCUCUUUUCUUCUUAACUCCCCACAAGGCCAUGGAAUUGGAUCACCCAGAGAUAUGGCUUUGGAGGAGGUAGAGCAGUCCACCUUCAGGACUGUCAGGAGCGUUCGCGACGACCCUUGAAAAUCCGAGGGAGAUAUCACUCGCACCCCAGGUCGUACCAACAACCGCAUCG